RNAcentral lists this ribosomal RNA (207 nucleotides) under uncultured bacterium. Its description in RNAcentral is "partial 16S ribosomal RNA". It matches the Rfam family "Bacterial small subunit ribosomal RNA", at positions 568 to 774 of the family's 1533-position model. The record is from RNAcentral.
UGCGUAGGUGGUGGGGUAAGUCGGAUGUGAAAUCUCCGAGCUCAACUCGGAAAUGGCAUUGGAAACUACCCUGCUAGAGGGUCGGAGGGGGGACUGGAAUACUUGGUGUAGCAGUGAAAUGCGUAGAUAUCAAGUGGAACACCAGUGGCGAAGGCGAGUCCCUGGACGACUCCUGACACUGAGGCACGAAAGCUAGGGGAGCAAACA